AACGAACGCUGGCGGCAUGCCUAACACAUGCAAGUCGAACGAUGCUUUCGGGCAUAGUGGCGCACGGGUGCGUAACGCGUGGGAAUCUGCCCUUUGGUUCGGAAUAACAGUUGGAAACGACUGCUAAUUCCGGAUGAUGACGUAAGUCCAAAGAUUUAUCGCCAGAGGAUGAGCCCGCGUGAGAUUAGGUAGUUGGUGGGGUAAAGGCCUACCAAGCCGACGAUCUCUAGCUGGUCUGAGAGGAUGAUCAGCCACACUGGGACUGAGACACGGCCCAGACUCCUACGGGAGGCAGCAGUGGGGAAUAUUGGACAAUGGGCGAAAGCCUGAUCCAGCAAUGCCGCGUGAGUGAUGAAGGCCUUAGGGUUGUAAAGCUCUUUUACCCGGGAUGAUAAUGACAGUACCGGGAGAAUAAGCCCCGGCUAACUCCGUGCCAGCCGCCGCCGUAA
This 449-nucleotide ribosomal RNA is filed under the name uncultured bacterium. RNAcentral's name for it is "partial 16S ribosomal RNA". It matches the Rfam family "Bacterial small subunit ribosomal RNA", at positions 29 to 523 of the family's 1533-position model. The record is from RNAcentral.